UCACACUGCUUCAUCGCCCUAACAUGAGAUAGAUGGAGCCACUCUUGCUGUUAUCUCAGAGAGGAUGUCUGAGAGGCUCUUUCCGGUCAUUCGCAAACAGAGUCUGUUUCUGACCCAGUUGGAGAAACUUAAAAGCACACCAAUGAGCAGAGAGAACCCUCCAAGAAACAUUGAUAACUCCAGCCAAGCACAGUCCGGUCCAGAUACCUCUUUAGUUUUUCCAACAGUGCUGAGGAUGGCCAUAGACAGAAGAGAUUCUGAUCUGAAGAGUGCAAGUAAAACAAAACUACGGAGUCUACUGAUCCAGUCUCUUUUUGACCAC
Molecule: long non-coding RNA, 322 nt
Organism: Carassius auratus (goldfish)
Lineage: Eukaryota; Metazoa; Chordata; Actinopteri; Cypriniformes; Cyprinidae
Exons: 3
Source: RefSeq, a predicted model, not a curated record